GUAGGUGGGGUAGAAGCCUAUCAAGGCGACGAUCAGUAGCCGGCUUGAGAGGGUGGACGGCCACACUGGGACUGAGACACGGCCCAGACUCCUACGGGAGGCAGCAGUGGGGAAUAUUGCGCAAUGGGGGAAACCCUGACGCAGUGACCACGCGUGAGAGAAGAAGGCCUUCGGGUUGUAAAGCUCGGUGGUAAGGGACGAAUGUUAAAAUCAAUUAUUCGGAUUGGGAAUGACGGUACCUUACCAACAAGCCCCGGCUAAAUACGUGCCCGCCGGCGCGGUAAGAAGUAGGGGGCCAGCGUUGUCCGGAAUUACUGGGGGUAAAGAGCAGGUUGGGGGGACUUUAAGUCAGGAGUGAAAGUCCGCGGGUCAAACGCGGGGUUGCACUUGAAAAUGGGGUUCUUGAGGGCAGGAGAGGAAAGCAGAAUUCCUGGUGUAGCGGUGAAAUGCGUAGAAAUCAGGAAGAAUACCCGUGGCGAAGGCGGCUUUUUGGAAUGACCCUGACGGUGAGGUGCGAAAGCGUGGGGAGCAAACCGGAUUAGAUUCCCUGGUAGUUCCCGCCGUAAACGAUGGAUAUAUAGGUGUGGGAGGUAUCGACCCCUUCCG
This 606-nucleotide ribosomal RNA is filed under the name uncultured bacterium. Its description in RNAcentral is "bacterial SSU rRNA". It matches the Rfam family "Bacterial small subunit ribosomal RNA", at positions 248 to 843 of the family's 1533-position model. The record is from RNAcentral.